RNAcentral lists this ribosomal RNA (668 nucleotides) under uncultured bacterium. RNAcentral's name for it is "bacterial SSU rRNA". It matches the Rfam family "Bacterial small subunit ribosomal RNA", at positions 21 to 680 of the family's 1533-position model. The record is from RNAcentral.
CGCUCAGAUUGAACGCUGGCGGCAGGCAUAACACAUGCAAGUCGGACGGUAGCACAGAGAGCUUGCUCUCGGGUGACGAGUGGCGGACGGGUGAGUAAUGUCUGGGGAUCUGCCCGAUAGAGGGGGAUAACCACUGGAAACGGUGGCUAAUACCGCAUAACGUCGCAAGACCAAAGAGGGGGACCUUCGGGCCUCUCACUAUCGGAUGAACCCAGAUGGGAUUAGCUAGUAGGCGGGGUAACGGCCCACCUAGGCGACGAUCCCUAGCUGGUCUGAGAGGAUGACCAGCCACACUGGAACUGAGACACGGUCCAGACUCCUACGGGAGGCAGCAGUGGGGAAUAUUGCACAAUGGGCGCAAGCCUGAUGCAGCCAUGCCGCGUGUAUGAAGAAGGCCUUCGGGUUGUAAAGUACUUUCAGCGGGGAGGAAGGCGAUGUGGUUAAUAACCGCAUUGAUUGACGUUACCCGCAGAAGAAGCACCGGCUAACUCCGUGCCAGCAGCCGCGGUAAUACGGAGGGUGCAAGCGUUAAUCGGAAUUACUGGGCGUAAAGCGCACGCAGGCGGUCUGUUAAGUCAGAUGUGAAAUCCCCGGGCUUAACCUGGGAACUGCAUUUGAAACUGGCAGGCUUGAGUCUCGUAGAGGGGGGUAGAAUUCCAGGUGUAGCG